CACUUUCUCAUGUACAUUCUAGUAAAGAAUUACUAUUGGUUCCACACCAUACCGGAAUGUGCCUUAGACAAAUAUAGAACUGCUUAAUAUAAUAUAUCUUAUCAAUUUCCUAUAUAUUUAAAUUUAAUAGAAUCCUAAUCAGAUUUUGAUGGAAAGUCGCUCUGAACUCUAUAUAAAGAGUAACUUAUCCUACCACCUUUUCACAUAU
This 208-nucleotide long non-coding RNA is filed under the name Ananas comosus (pineapple). Its description in RNAcentral is "long non-coding RNA (ACOM_LNC002151)". The record is from RNAcentral. Lineage: Eukaryota; Viridiplantae; Streptophyta; Magnoliopsida; Poales; Bromeliaceae.